CUCAUUCUGUCUUGCCGCCACAAUGUAAGAAUUGUCUCUCACCCUCUGCCAUGUAAGAAUUCUCUUUCACCCUCUGCCGUGAUCGUGAGACCUUCCCCAGCCAUGUGAAACUUUUUCAGCUUUCCUCCACUGUUUUGGGAAACGUCACCUUCUUAUCUUGGAAGAGUAAUCUCAAAAUUGAAGCAUCUUAGAUCCAACAAGAAUUAAAAGGAUGGGAAGUCCUUGCAGCCAUCCAAUAGAGUCAGAAGACUUUGGAUUUUGGAGUCUGUGAGAUUAUCUUACAGAGCAAGACUGCAGAUCAAGAUUUUCCAACGUGGUGCUGACUUUUUUGAGAACAGUUAAUGAGAACUAGGAAAGUCCUUGCAGACCAUCCAGUCCAGCGGCUUUCAAAUGGAAAAUGUGAAAGGACAACAGAAUCACAUGGAUUCUUUUCUGAACUGCUUUUUUCCAGUGAUGCCAUAUUCUAUAAGACUUCAUGUGAAGGAUGUACUCACAUCCCAACAAAUUGAAAAUGCUGACCAAUCCCAGCACAGCCAACUCGAAUUUGCUCCUUCAUCAAAGUGACCAGCACCUCAUUUCUUCCUCUUUAGAAUUUAUAGGCAGAUCACUGAAGCAUCACUCCUGAAUGUUCCUCUGUACCCUCAAUGUGCAUUUGCACUACCAGUGAUCUCAAGAAUUCUAGAAAAUGAAAACUGGAUUACCAUCACCAACGUCUAGGAACUGUGAGUCCUAUGGCUAUUGAUAUCUAACAUCCUGGCUUCACUCACAUGGAUGAGCCCCACCUGGAAUGCCUAGAAGACGUGGGACAGCUGGAUCUCUCUCCACACGGUUUUUCAUUGUUGCCUCAGGUUCCAAUAAAAGCAAAAGCUGCAAGGUCUUCUGAGGCAAAGACUUAGAAAUACCACAAUGUUACUUCUGCUGCAUUCUGUUGAUAAAAGAAUCCCACAAUGCCAGCUUCAUUUAAAGGGGUAAAGAUAUAGAUUAUUCACCUUCGAUGGGAGGAACUGCAAAUGAUGUAAUUAGUGAUAAUUUUUAAUAUACUGUAAUGUAUUGACUUAUCUUUAAAAAAUGAAAAAAUAAACCAAAAACUAAAAGCAAAACAAAACUAUAAUAGAAAACAAUUGCUUCUGGAGGAGGAAUGCAAUGGGGAAAAGGUUAUAGAAACAAAAGCUACAUUUUAUUUGAAUAUACCUGUUUUAGGUUUGACCCUGGUAACAUUUGAUAUUUUACAUAAUUAUAUCAUUAUUUAAAAUUAAAUUUUAAAACACCAAUACCCAUAACAGAAAAGUUUGAUAAAAGAGGUGAAAUAUAAAUAUAAAUAUAUUAAGUUUGCAUUAUAAUCACACAGAGAUGAAUUGUGUCAGUUACUCAAACACAGAUAUUUGACUAUACAACCUUUAUAAGAUAUCCUAAGGACAAAAAAACAUGCAAAAAUAUAUAUUGAACUGUUUUAAAAUUAUAUUUUUUUGCAAUUGAAUUGUUAUUGUGAGACAGGUGUGUACAUAUUUUAAGAUCAAGCAAGUUAGUAAGCUUGUUGACAUUAUUGUAAAUGGGAUUUGUCCCAUGGGGUAAAGAAGAUAUAAUAGCAAGUAGAAGAAAAUAAAUGAAAACCCAUUAAUAUGAGUUUGAAGUUAAAGUAUCAGUAUGAAGUCAUGAAGCAUUUUCCCAACAAAAAGAAAAAAAUAGUUUCCUAGUUCUAAUCACUUAAAAGUAUAUAGAAACAACAUAAAACUCAAUAUCAAGAGGAAAUGUAACUCAGAUGUGCUCUGUAGACAUUUCCCCUAAAAGGAGUUGAAGUUCAUUGCAAACAAGUAUCUAAUUCCAGCUUGGGGUUUGAAUAUUGUACAAGAUGGGCCUGGAAUAUCAAAUUCUCUUACUAAAAAGCAAGGCAGAUUUGAAAGACUAUUAGGAUGCAUCAAAGAGACUCAGAGGAGUCACCCUGAAGAGGUUACCAUUGGCCAAAGGUAAAAAUUUGAGAAUCAAUAAGAAAAUCAAAGGCAGUAGAUUAAAAUGCCUCAAAUAUGCUUAAAUCUAUCUGUUCCUAAUAAUGUUAAUUUAAAAAUAAUGUUGUCAUUGGACAGCUUUGAAGAAUGUUAGGGAUCCAUAAGAAUGUACAGUUUUGAAUUAAAGAGAAGAAUUGAGCAUUUAUCCUGUUUUUCCUUUAUGGAUUAUGUCUAAGGAUAACCAAAUGUUGAUGACAGAAAAUCCUUUUUAAAGAUACCUUUAGCCAAAGAAUGAAGAAAGAAUGAUAGAAUUGAAAUGUUACCAUUUUUGCAACCCCUAAUGAAAUAAUGAAUCUAGCCAGUUGUUAUCAAUUGUUGCUAACAUAAAAAAUGAGAGACAAACAGACACGCCUCUUCAUAGAAGUAUAUGAUACCACCUAUAAAAUAUUACUGCCAGAAAAAAAAAUCAAACUUUGGAUCUAAUUACCAAUUAGAUCAGCCUUUAGCUCUAACAACCAAUUUGCAAUAUUUACAGGAGAUACAGGAGCAUGUUGAAUGACACCAUAAAAAGGCAAUCAGUAAAAUUUAGUUUAUUAUAAACUAUAUAGGAUAAGUGAUCCAGUUGCUGCAAUAAAUAUAUUACAGAAGGUGUGUAUUGGCGGGUGGGAGAUAAAGGAGCAAUCUAUAGAUAAAAACAGACUUAAGGGACAUAAAAACAACUUUAAUGUAUGGAUCUUAUUUGGAUCCUUAAGAAAACAAAUUGUAAAGUAGCAUGAGACAUUUGAAGAAAAUAGAAAUAGUUUUUAAGUGUGGUAAUGAUAUCGUGGUUAUACGUUGUUAAAGAAUGCCUUUAGAGGUAAAUACAGAAAUAUUUGCAGAUGAACUAAAAUGAUGUCUAGAAUUUACAUAAAAGUAAUCCUGUAGGGAGAGUGAAGAAGUGGAAAGAGUGGAUAUUGAUAGGCAAGAGUAGCUAUAAUUUGACCACUGCUGAAUGUUGUUGAUGGAUAAAUGAAAAUGUAUUAUAUAUUUUUUUACUUAUAUAUUUGAAGAUUUUGAUUUUUAAUAAAGUGAAGCUGAGAAAGGGAAAAUCAUUUUUCUUGAUGUCAGGCUUUGAACAGAGAUAAAAGUAAAACCACUGUAGACCAAAGUGGAAAAAUAAAAAGCAAACAUAAACUUUUAUGCUUUCAGCUCUCUAUUACUGGCUUGUAUUUUUUUUUUAAUCUUUAUUUUAAGUUCCAGGGUACAUGUGCAGGAUGUGCAGGUUUGUUGCUUUUGUAAAUGUGUGCCAUGGUGGUUUGCUACAUCUAUCAACCCAUCAUCUAGGUAUUAAGCCCAGAAUGCAUUACCUAUUUUUCCUAAUGCUCUCCCUCCCCCCACUCUACCCCCCAACAGGUCCCAGGAUGUGUUAUUUCCUUCCCCGUGUGCAUGUGUUCUUAUUGUUCAGUUCCCACAUAAAAGUGAGAACAUAUGGUGUUUGGUUUUCUAUUUCUGCAUUAGUUUGCUGAGGAUAAUGGAUUCUAGAUCCAUUCAUGGCCCUGCAAAGGACAUGAUCUCAUUCCUUUUUAUGGCUGCAUAGUAUUCCAUGGUGUACAGGUACUUUUGAUUGCCUAUUUCAUUUACUUAAACAUAUUCAACCUUUCAAAAAAAUAUUGUUGGUACUUGAAAAUUACAAUAAAUUUGGUGUUUUGGGGUCUGAUUCUGCUCUGUUCUUUCUGUAACUCACACUCUUUAAGAACUUACUUAUAGUUUACUAGGUUCUCAAAAACUUGCUUAAACCAGGGAAAAAGUUAAAACAACACCACUUUAUAAAAAAUGUUGAAAAUAAAGUAAGAUGACUUUUAAGUCAGAAAAAACUGAGGCUACCACUUACGAGUUUGCCACUUACUUAAAUGGCUUACUUCUUUUUUAUUCUUUUUUAAAUUAAGAAUUUUAAGAGCAGUUUUAGGUUGACAGCAAAAUUAAGAGGAAGACACAGAGAUUUCCCAAAUACUCCCUCACCCCACACAUCAAUAGCCUCUCCAAUUAUUAACAUUUCCCAUCAAAGCAGUCUUUUUUUCUACAACAGAUGAACCCACACAUCAUUAUCACCCAAAGUCCAUUGCUGGCAUUAGGUUCACCCUUCAUAUUAUACAUCCUAUCAGUUUGGAUAAACGUAUAAUGAUAUGUAUCUACCAUUACACCAUCAUAGUAUCAUACAGAAUACUUUGACUGUUCUAAAAGUCCUCUGUGCUCCACCCAUUUAUCCCUCCCUCUUCUCUGUCUCCUGGCAACCAUUUAUUUUUUACUGUCUCUGUAUUUUUGCCUUUUUCAUAAUGUCAUAUAGUUGGAUUCAUACAGUGUGUAGCCUUUUCAGAUUGUCUUCUUUUAUUUAGUAAUAUGCAUUUAAGCUUCCUCCAUGUCUUGUCAUAGUUCGACAGCUUCUUUCUUCCUUUUUUAAAAAAAUUUGUUUUUAAUUUCAAUAGCUUUGGGGGGAACAGUUGGUGUUUGGUUACAUGAAUAAGUUUUCUAGCGGUGAUUUCUGAGAUUUUUAUGCACCCAUCACCUGAGCAGUGUACACUAUACACUGUGUAGUCUUUUAUCCCUCACCCUUCUCCCACCAUUUCCCCUGAGUCCCCAAAGUCUAUUGUAUCAUUCUUAUGCCUUUGCAUCCUCACAUCUUAGCUCCCACUUGUGAGUGAGAACAUCUGAUGUUUGGUUUUCCAUUCCUGAGUUACUUCACUUAGAAUAAUGGUCUCCAAUUCCAUCCAGGUUGCUGCAAAUUCCAUUAUUUCAUUCCUUCUUAUAGCUGAGUAGUAUUCCAUGGUAUGUAUGUAUAUAUGUGUGUGUGUGUGUGUGUGUGUGUGUGUGUGUGUAUAUAUAUAUAUAUAUAUAUAUAUCACAAUUCCUUUAUCUAUCUACUCAUUGAUUGAUGGCCAUUUGGGCUGGUUCCAUAUUUUUACAAUUGCGAAUUGUUCUGCUAUAAUACAAACACGCAUGUGCAAGUAUCUUUUUUGUAUAAUGACUUCUUUUCCUCUGGGGAGAUAUCCUGUAGUGGGAUUGCUGGAGCAAAUGGUAGUUCUACUUUUAGUUCUUUAAGGAAUCUCCACACUGUUUACCAAAGUGUCUGCACUAGUUUACACUCCCACCAGCAGUUUAAAGGUGUUCCCUUUUUACCACAUCCCCACCAAUGUUUAUUUAUUUUUUUUUUUGAUUUUUUGAUUAUGGCCAUUCUUGCAGGAGUAAGGUAAUAUCACAUUGUGAGUUUGAUUUGCAUUUCCCUGAUCAUUGGUGAUGUUGAGCAUUUUUUCAUGUUUGUUGGCCAUUUGUAUAUUUUCUUUUGAGAAUUGUCUAUUCAUGUCCAUAGCCCACUUUUUGAUGGGAUUUUUUUUUCUGAUUUGUUUGAGUUCCUUGUAGAUUCUGGAUAUUAGUCCUUUGUUGCAUGUAUAGAUUGCAAAGAUUUUCUCUCACUCUGUGGGUUGUCUGUUUACUCUGCUGAUUGUUUCUUUUUCUUGCAGAAGCUUUUUAGUUUAAUUCAGUCCCAUAUUUUUAUCUUUGUUUUUGUUGCAUUUGCUUUUGGGUUCCUGGUCAUGAAGUGCUUGUCUAAACCAAUGUCUAGAAGAGUUUUUCUGAAGUUAUCUUCUAGAAUUUGUAUAGUUUCACAUCUUAAAUUUAAGUAUUUGAUCCGUCUUGAGUUGAUUUCUAUAUAAGGUGAGAGAUGAGCAUCCAGUUUCAUUCUUCUACAUGUGGCUUGACAAUUAUUCCAGCACCACUUGUUGAAUAGGGUGUCCUUUUGCACUUUAUGUUUUUGUUUGCUUUGUUGAUGAUCAGUUGACUGUAACUUUAUUUCUGGGUUCUCUAUUCUGUUUCAUUUGUCUAUGUGCCUAUCUUUAUACUAGUACCAUGCUGUUCUGGUGACUAUGUCCGUAUAGUAUAGUUUGAGGUCAGGUAAUGUGACGCCUCCAGAUUUGUUCUUUUUGCUUGGCUUUGUGGUCCCUUUUUUGGUUCCAUAUGAAUUUUAGGAUUGUUUUGUACUAGUUGAGUGAAGAAUGAUGGUGGUAUUUUGAUGGGAAUUGCAUUGAAUUUGUAGACUGCUUUUGGCAGUUUGUCAUUUUCACAGUAUUGAUUCUACCCAUUCGUGAGCAUGGGAUGUGUUUCCAUUUGUUUGUGCAAAGCUACUAUGAACACCUUUACACGCAUAAACUAGAAAACCUAGAGGAGAUAAAUUCCUGGAAAUACACAACCCUCCUAGAUUAAACAGGAAGAAAUACAAACUUUGAACAGACCAAUAACAAGCAGCAAGACUGAAAUGGUAAUACAAAAAUUGUCAACAAAAAAAAAUUCAGAGGUGGGGCAUGGUGGCUCACGCUUGUAAUCCCAACACUUUGGGAGGCUGAGGCAGGUGGAUCACCUGAGGUCAGGAGUUUGAGACCAGCCUGGCCAACAUGGUGAGACCCUGUCUCUACUAAAACAUACAAAAAUUAGCUGGAUGUGGUGGCGCAUGCCUAUAAUCACAGCUACUCAGGAGGCUGAGGCAGGAGAAUUACUUGAACCCGGGAGAUGGACAUUGCAGUGAGCCGAGAUCAUGCCACUGCACUUCAGCCUGGGCGACAGAGUGAGACUCUGUCUCAAAAAGAAAAAACAAAAAGUUCAGAACAAGAUGGAUUCACAGCUGAAUUCUAUCAGACAUUCAAAGAAUAAUUGGUACCUAUCCUAUUGAUUGGUACCAAUCCUACUAUUCCACAAGACAGAGAAAGAGGCAAUUCUCCCUAAAUCAAUCUAUGAAGCCAGUAUCACCCAAAUACCAAAAUCAGGGAAGGACAUAACAAGAAAAGAAAAGUACAGACCAAUAUCCCUGGUGGAUAUAGAUGCAAAAAUUCUUAACAAAAUAUUAGCUAACUGAAUCCAACAGCAUAUCAAAAAGAUAAUCCAUCAUGAUCAAGUGGGUUUCAUACCAGGGGUGCAGGGAUGGUUUAACAUAUGCAACUCAAUAAAUGUGACACACCACAUAAGCAGAACUAAAAAUAAAAAUCACAUGAUCAUCUCAAUAGAUGCAGAAAAAGCAUUUGACAAAAUCCAGCAUAUGUUUUAUGAUUAAAGCCCUCAGCAAAAUCCGCAUAGAAGAGACGUAUCUUAAUGUAAUAAAAGCCAUCUAUGACAAAUGCACAGCCAACAUAAUAUUGAACAGGGAAAAGUUGAAAGCAUUCCCCAUUGAGAACUGGAACAAGACAAGGAUAUCCACUCUCACCACUUCUUUUCAACAUAGGACUGGACAUCCUUGCUAGAGCAAGCAGACAAGAGAGAAAUAAAGCGCAUUCAAAUCGGUAAAUAGGAAGUCAACUGUUGCUGUUUGCUGAUGAUAUGAUUGUAUGCCUAGAAAGCCCUCAAUACUCCUCAAAAAAGCUCCUAGAACUGACAAAUGAAUUCAGCAAAGUUUUAGAAUACAAAAUUAAGGUACACAAAUCAGUAGCUCUGCUAUACACCAACAGUAACCAAACUGAGAAUCAAAUCAUGAGCUCAACCCCUUUUACCAUAGCUGCAAAAAACAAACAAAUUUAAAAAACUAGGAAUAGCCCUAACCGAGAAGGUGAAAAACCUCUACAAGGUAAACUACAAGAUACUGCUGACUGCUUAUUUCUUUUUAACACUGAAUAAUAUUUCAUUUUCCAGAUUUACCACUGUUUAUUUAUCUACCUACUGAAGGACCUCUUGGUUGCUUCUAAGUUGUGGCAAUUAUGAAUAAAACUGCCAUAAAACUCUGUGUGCAGGUUUUUGUGUGGGCAUAAUUUUUCCUUUGGGUAAAUACCAAGGACUAAAAUUGCUGGAUUGUAUGAUAAAAGUAUGGUAAGUUUUGUAAGAAACUGCCAUGCUAUUUCCCAAAGUGGCUGUACCAUUUUGCAUUCCCACUAGCAACGAUUGAGAGUUCCUGCUGCUCCACAUUUUCACCAGCAUUUAGUGUUGUCAGUGUUCUGAAUUUUAGCCAUUUUACUAGGGUUAGUGGUAUCUCCUUAUUAUUUUAAAUUACUUAUUUUUUUUACAUCCAAGUUUUCUCAUCUACCAAAAUGCAGAUGCUAAUGCCUAGUUCAGAUAAUUCUUGUGAAAAUUCACAGAUGUGGUAAUUCGUGGAAAUAACACAAUAUCUGAUAUGCUAAAGCACUCUGGUAGUUUUAUAUAUAGCUAUGAUUCCUGAACUGGGAAGUAGGGUAGGUCAAUCUCAUGUCUACAUAUAAAACUGCAAAAAGAUUUUUAUUUUCACUCACUGAUGUAGAAAAAUAGUCUGUCGUAUUGCAACAGUAACGUCAUCUUCAAUCAAACCUGCCAAAAUGACUGAUGCUUGACCUCUGCAUCCCAAGACAUUCCGCAGCCAGGUUAAGAAACAAUGCCUGUAGCAUAGAUAACCCUUCAGAAAGAUGCUUAUCUCACCUCCCCAGUAGCCACAAGUUUUGCAAGAAAGUCAGAGGCAUGCCCAGCUGCACAUGUUUUACCCCAAAAGCUUGCUAUAUAAAGGACACUUUCUGGAAGGCAGGUUCAAGGAUCCAAUGUCUCUUGGCCACUGAGAAAUGGUUUCUAUUCUUAAGUCCCUAUUAAAUGUUUCUUCCUGAAAAAAUAAACUUGUCAGCCUCUUUCUUUCACCUCUCAGCCAAGGCCUUUAGGGGUAGGUUUUGCCUAUACCUGCCCACUAUGGAAUAACCAACCCGACCUCUAGCCCGUGAGCUAGAAAAUCAGAUAUGUAAGAAUGCUACAUUGACACCUGAACUUGGAUUGUAUGACUGACAACAAAUACUCUUUGAACUACAUCUAACAUUUUGAACCAAUAAUAUUGAAUAGCAGAAAUGAAAUACAUUUGUCUUCACCAUUAACAUUUUUUAAGUGGAUUACCUUCUUUGGGUGAAAUGGAAAUGUAGCAUUUGCAAAACUGUUAAUGAAUUUGUGUUGAGUGGUUAAAUCUACACUACAAAUGAUUUAAUUCAGGGCAUGGUAGAGUAUACUGUUGGUUUCUGAAUGAUGGUGUUAGUUAUGGUCUGAGCAUAAGUUAAAUCAUUUUGUAGUUUAUUUGUUUGAAAUUAGAGCUUUCCUCUUACCAAAUGAUCUCUAGGGCAAAAUGAUUCCAUUACGAACUCUUUUGAAACACCAGAAUUGUCAUCCCUAAUGUUGACUUGGCUUCCUGAAGAAGCAGUUCUGGAUACAUAACUUCAUCAGAACAGCACAGAAUUUGUGAUGCAUUCCACUGAUUCCAAAGACUAUGUUUUAGACUCUACUCUCAAGGGCAGGUCUUUUAUUUUUGUUUGAUUGAGAGAUUUCAUCUACAAAGAAGAAAAUAUAAAGAAUGAUAGUGUCUUUCCAUUUGUCAUGCGCAGUAACACUUGCACUGAAGGAUUUAUAAAACAGAAUCUAGCACAUAAUAAAUCUUUUUUUUUUUCCGAAGGCUUACAAGAUAUCUCAUUCUUGAGAGCUAAUAUGGAACUGGAACUACUCUAAGUAAAAUAGGAAUUCAAGUUCAUUAUGUGUGUUAUUUAUUAACAUCAAAUUAAUUCUGGCCACUGACUGUUUUGCCAUUUCCUCCUCUAGAAGGCUAAGAUUCUAUUUAGAUUCAACUAUUUUUUUCCAUGUUCUUUUUAUUUAUGCUGAAACAGACCAGAAAAUCAAAUAGGCCAGAUUUUUUUUGUUAUUUAUUUGUUGCACAAUUAUUCAAUAUGCAGAUUCAUAAGAUUAUAAAUUAACCACACUAUACGAUUCAAUUUAGAACCAGAAGAGAAUAUUUUAACAAAAUGCACUGAGUUUCCAGUCAUAUUCAGGUACACACAUGUGAAAAGCAAAUUAAAUAAGAGGUCAAAGUAAAAUGAACACAAGACAAUGACAUUCCAGGUAUAUAUGCAAUAUUUUCUUCCUCUCCCUCCACUAAUCCUGAUAAGCCAGUUAAAAUGACGACUGAGUUUUUGGAUUUCUACAUAAUUACAGUUACCAUCAAAGCUAGUGAUUACAUUAAUGUUCAUUGGAUUUGCCUCUUUGAGAGACAGCCAAAUCAGAAAGAUCACAUUUAGGGAAUUCUAGGCUACUGGUGACUGCACAGUGACUUGUGGAGGUGUCCUCAGGAAGAGUUUCAUUUCAUCCUCUGGGGUUUUUAUAAAUUUGAGAUGUAAAAAAAGUGUGUGUGUGUGUGUGUGUGUUUGUGUGUGUUUGUGUGUUGGGGGUAGGGAACAGUGAUCCUUUUUCUAUUUCAUGUCCCAGAAAGAGGAACUGAAUUUAAGUUGUUAAAUACCCAUCCCCUGCAGUAUACAUGAUUUUGGAUUGCUUUCUUUUUAUGGUAUUUUCUCACUUUUAAAGCUAUCCCCAGUUUGGAAAUAGAAAGUGCACCUGUAAUGUGUUGAGGGUGGGAGGGAGAACAUCAUGAUUUUUCCCCAGUUCUACAUGCAUAAAGAAUGAUUGAAAAUGGACAUUUGAGCUCCUGUUAAUAGAGUGAAAAAUAGGCAAAAUUUGGUAAACAGUUUUGCUGGGGAGCCAUGAUUUUAAAGGGCUAUGUUUUUGCAAGGCUAGGCUUUUGAGACAUUUGUUUUCUCCUGGAUACUUCAGCCUCUUCCCAGUUAAAUGGAACUUGUAAGCCAUUUUAGCAUCCCUUGUCUUUCCAUAAUGUUGAGGUUAGACACUACACUAAAGAUUUAUUCCUGGCUGCUAAGGAGAAACAAGUCUUCAAUACUGGGAACUCACUGUGGCUGCUUGCCCACAGAGUUCAGGGAAAGGGAAGCCAGAAGCCAGGCUAUAGGACACACCAGCUAUCCCUCUGAGGUUUCCUCACUAACAAGCCACUUGAAUUAGAAAGCACACAAGCCAGUGGAGAAUAAACCACAUCUGACCAUGGAACAAUUUGAAUGAAGUACUUCAUUGAUUUGACCUGGUGGCUUAUCAAGAUACUUUUGCCCAGAUUCAAUACAUGAGAUUCUCCCCUCAAAAUGUUUGCUCAAUGUUUAGACUUAUUUAAAUGUAUUUGAGGUUUCUGCUUGGAGACCUAAUUUUAUGUAUUUAAACACAUUCAACCUCUGGGUAACUGAUAGUAAAUAAAAACAAAACAUUUAGCCUAUCAAAUUAUAUCACAUGUAUUUAUUGAAUCGUUAAAAAGAAUUACAAAAACCCAGACAUGCGGACUCUAGUAAACGGUCUUUGUUGGUUCUAGAACAUGUAUUCUUAGUCCAGCUGCUUGAUAAACUGCAAUCACCUAAACACACGCUCCUAAAUCAAAUCUUGGAUUUCAGUAAGAGCACUGAGCCAUCACGGGUUUCUGUUUUUUGGAGAAGCCAAGUCAUAAUAAGCUUUUAAAGGUAUGUCUAGUCAAUAUUUUUUUUAAACCUCCUUUCACCUUAAUAUGUGUUUAGCCAACACAACAAGUAUAAUUGUGGAAAUCAUUCUAUAAAUUGCAUGCAUUCACUCUUUGCUGAACAUAGAAGAAAGCCUGAGAAUAUGAAAAGCAAUGCAUUUGUUGCCUUGUUCUCAAGAGGCCACCUCUCUUUGAGAAAACCAAAUCGCAGGGCACCAAAAAUUAAGUAACAAAGAGCGAGAUAUUGACCAUAUGUUUCAGGAGGCUUUGGAUAGAAACUUCCCUGUCUUCAGUGGUUGCAAAUUAGUUGUCCUAGAUUUGAUCUUCAUCAGUAUUGUGCUUCUCAGCUUUUUGGUUUUGAUUCUUGUAAAGCACAUGUUGCUUUGAAUUAUUCUUUCAUUAUAGCAAAGAUAAAGGAGCCUGACAGCAAAAUUGUUUACAAUAAUGAAAAUUUGGAUUUAGCCAAUAUGUCCAAAAAUAUAUUACUAAUAGAACAUAUGGAGCAUCUAUCCAAAGUAAUAUUAUGUAGCUCUUAAGUUUAUUUUGUAGCUUUCGGUUUAAUGAUGUAAUAAAAAGUUAAGAUAUCAAGUGAAAAAGCAGGUUAUAGAAUUUUGGUAAAACUAUUAUACAAGUAAAAUGUUUUUCCUACAUAUUUUGGACGUUCUUACAUCCAAAAAUCUUAUAUCCAUGGACUUUUUAAUGCCACUGUUUUAAAAUUUCACUACAAUAUAUAUUUAAGUGGCAUAUAGCCUGAUCUUAUUGCCUUGGGGUUUGUCUUGGCCAUCAACUUUUGUUGGGCUGAAUUUAGGCCUUCUGAGAGGUCAUUGCAGCCAUUCUCCUCUGCCUAAUCCUCUACUGCCUAUCCCAUCAAAGGGAUCUAAAUGAUUUUCCCCUUCACAGUCAAAGGAAGUUUCUCUCUUCUCGGGGAAGGGAGGGAAGAGAAGCUCCGGGUAUGGCAAACUGAGUCUGUGAGACUAUUUCUAUUUCCCUGGAAAAGAAAAAUUGAAACAAUUUUUAUUCUUUCUGAUAUCUUUAUAGUGGUGAAAGUAAAGAAGAAAAUGUCAUUAAGUUUUCCCGCCACAUUAUAUAUGAACAUGUUGAUUACAAUGUGCAAAAAUUGAAUGUCUGGAAGGGUAUGUUCACCAAAAUUAGUCUAGAAUGUCGUUAUGCUUUUUGUUUCUUUUCCCUUCUUAAAAAUAUAUUUGUCUUAACUGUUUUUUAAGAGUUUGUUUUAUAAUAAAUACAGAUUGCCCUGUAAUAACAAAAUGAAUUUAGGCAAUAAAGUCUUGUCUUUUGUAUCUUAAAAUUAUUUUAAAAUAUUUCAUAAGGGACACUUUGAAAAAAUAGUUUUUAAUCUUUUCAAUGACACUGUAAUGCAAGUAUCUAUUUUUCAUUUACUCAUGUGGAAACCAUGUAAUAAGGGGCUAAAGACAUGUCCCAAGUCAUAUAAAAUAGUAAAUGGCAGAAUGAGAAUUUGGAGCCUCACCUCCUUGACAUAAGUAUUCUCAUUUCUCUUACCAAUUAGACUUUAAAGAAAAAUACUAAUUUGAAAAAUUUGUUCUUGGCUACUUUAAAUUUGUAGGAUGCAUCUACAAAGCAUCUAUUUACUUUCUUGCGGAUCCACUGAAAACUGAUUUUGCUGCUCUAGAUGGGGUGGGAAUAGAGGAAGCAGAAGAAGAUAAGGAAUUUUUUAAAAGUACUGGAUUCGUGUUAUAUUGCUGCUGUAACAAAUUAUCACAAAUUUAGCAGCUUAAAACCACACAGAUUUAUUACCUCACACUUCUGUAGGUCAGGAAUCUGGUGGCUCAGUUGAGCUCUGCUCUAGGUUCCCCAAGGUCAAAUCAAGGUUCUGGCCAGCCUGGGUUUUUACCAGGAGGCUUUGGGAGACAAUCUGUUUCCAAACUGAUUCAGGCUGUUGGCAGAAUUUACUGCUAUGUGGUUAUAGGACUUAAGUCCCACUUGUCUUGCUGGAAGUUGGCUGGGGGUCAUUCUCAGCUUUUUUUUUUUUUUUUUUUUUUUUUUUUUUUUGAAACGGAGUCUUGCUCUGUCGCCCAGGCUGGAGUGCAGUGGCGCGAUCUCGGCUCACUGCAAGCUCCGCCUCCUGGGUUCACGCCAUUCUCCUGCCUCAGCCUCCCGAGUAGCUGGGACUACAGGCGCCCGCCACCGUGCCUGGCUAAUUUUUUGUAUUUUUUAGUAGAGACAAGAUUUCACCAUGUUAGCCAGGAUGGUCUCGAUCUCCUGACCUCAAGAUCCGCCCGCCUCGGCCUCCCAAAGAGCUGUGAUUACAGGCGUGAGCCACCGCGCCCCGCCCAUUCUCAGCUUUUAGAGGCUGACUGCAUUUCCCUUUAGUCUCUCUGACUCAUUUUUGUUUUGUGCCACAUCUCUUCUCUGACUCCAGUCGGAGAAAGUUCUCUGCUGUAAGGAGUCAAGUGAUUAGAUUGGGCUCACCUGGAUAACACAGGAUGCGCUCCCUCUUUUAUGAUCUAUAAUCUCAAUUACGUCUGAAAAAAUCUCUAACAGUCCUACCUAGACAGAGUUUGAUUGAAUAAUCAGAAGACAGGCUAUUGGGGCAACAUCUUUGGAAUUCUACCACCACUAGUUUUUGUUUGUUUUUUUCUUUUUCUCAAAACUUGAGGAUAGAAAUAUUCACACUUUUUUCAACUUUCAAUGCUUAUGCCUAAACAUCUGACACAUAUCAGAUAUUCAUAAAUAUAUUUCCUCCCAAAUCCAUAACUUGAAUAAAUUUUGUCUGUAGUUACUUCGAAAAGCGAAUUUUUAACAAUAAUUUCAACUGUUAUUUUAGAUGCAGGGGGUACACGUGCAGGGUUGUUACAUGAGUAUAUUGUGUGAUGCUGAGAUUUGGGAUACAAAUGAUUCCGUCAUGGAUAACACAGUGAGGUAGUGAGCAUAAUACCCAACAGUUAGUUUUUCAACCCUUGCUGCAGCUCACCCUCCCCCAACUCGUAUUCCCCAGUGUCUAUUUUUGCCAUUUUUAUGUCCAUGAGUACUUAAAUGUUUAGCCCUCUUUUGAAAGUGAGAAUAUGCGGUAUUUGGUUUUCUGUUUUUGUAUUAACUCACAGGAUAAAGGCCUCAAGCGCCAUCCCUGUUGCUGCAAAGGACAUGAUUUUGUUCUUUUUUAAUGGCUACGUAGUAUUCCAUGGUAUAUGUAUCACAUUUUCUUUAUCCAGUCUGCCAUACAUGGGCACCUAGUUGAUUCCAUGUCUUUUCUAUUGUGACUAGUGCUUCGAUGAAUGUAAAAGUUCAUGUAUCUUUUUAGUAGAACAAUUUAUUUGCUGUUGGAUAUGUAUCCAGCAAUGGAAUUGCUAGGUCUAUAGUUCUAAGUUGUUUGAGAAAUUUUCACACUGCUUUCCACAGUGGCCAAACUUAUUUAAAUUUCUACCAACAGUGUAUAAGCAUUCCCUUUUCUCCACGGCCUCACCAGCAUCUGUUACUUUUUUACUUUUCAUAAUAGUCACUCUGACUAGUAUAUGAUGGUAUCUCAUUGUAGUUUUGAUUUGCAUUUCUCCAGUGAUUAGUGAUUUUGGGUAUUUUUUCAUAUGUUUAUUGGCUGCUUACGUGUCUUCUUUUGAGAAGUUUCUGUUAAUGCCUUUUGCCCACUUAUGUUCAGAGGUACAAGUUCAGGUUUGUUACAUAGGUAAACUUGUGUCAUGCAGGUUUGCUGUACAGAUUAUUUCAUCAUGCAGGUAUUAAGCCUAGUACUCUUUAGCUAUUUUUCUUGUUCCUCUCCCUCUUCCCACCCUCCUCCCUCUGAAAGGCCCCAGUGUGUGUUGUUCCCUUCUAUGUGUCCAUGUGUUCUCAUCAUUUAGCUUCCACUUACAGGUGAGAACAUGUGGUAUUUGGUUUUCUGUUCCUGUGUUAGUUUGCUAAGGAUAAUGGCCUCCAGCUCCAUCCCUGUCCCUGCAGAUGACGUGAUCUCAUUCUUUUUUUUAUGGCUGCAUAAUAUGCUAUGGUGUACAUGUACCACAUUUUCUUUAUCCGGUUUAUCAUUGACGGGCAUUUGGGUUGAUUUCAUGUCUUUGCUAUUGUGAAUAGUGCCGCAAUGAACAUACGUGUGCAUGUGUCUACUUUUUAAUGGGGUUGUUUUUUGCUUGUUAAGUUUAUUAUAGAUUCUGGAUAUUAGAUAUUUCUUGGAUGCCUAGUUUGCAAAUAUUUUCACCCAUUCCGCAGGUUGUUUAUUUUGUUGAUUGUUUCUUCGGCUGUGCAGAACCUCUUUAAUUUAAUUAGGCCUCACUUGUCAAUUUUUGUUUUUGUUGCAAUUGCUUUUGAGGUUUUAGUCAUAAACUCUUUACCAGGGUCCAUGUCCAGAAAGGUAUUUCCUAGGUUUUCUUCUAGGAUUCUUAUAUUAAUAGUUUGAGGUCUUACAUUUAAAUCUGUACUCCAUCUUGAGUUAAUUUUUGUAUGUGGUGGAAGAUAGGGUCCAGUUUCAUUCUUCUGCAUAUAGAUAGGCAGAUGUCCCAGCACCAUUUAUUGAAUCGAGAGUCCUUUCUUUAUUGCUUGUUUUUUUUUUUUUGACUUUGUCAAAAAUCAGAUGGUUGUAGGUGUGCAGCUUUAUUUCUGAGCUCUCUAUUCUCUUCAAGUGAGUUUCCCAGACUGUAUGUCUGCUUCUUUUUUUUUUUUUUUUUGAGAUGGAGUCUCGCUCUGUCACCCAGGCUGGAGUGCAAUGGUGCAAUCUCAGCUCACUGCAAGCUCCACCUCCCGGGUUCACACCAUUCUCCUCCCUCAGCCUCCCAAGUAGGUGGGACUACAGGCGGCUGCCAC
This 16008-nucleotide long non-coding RNA is filed under the name Homo sapiens (human). RNAcentral describes it as "HSALNT0343658". Lineage: Eukaryota; Metazoa; Chordata; Mammalia; Primates; Hominidae. The record is from RNAcentral.